UGUGUGUGUGUGUGUGUGUGUGUACACAAAGAAAGAGGUUGCUUCUUCCCUCUCACCUCCCUGCAUUACAAGUCUUUGCCUCUUGCUCUGAACUUGUAGCUUUCAGCAUUGUGCCAGGGGGCAUGCACUUUCUAGGCUGUCGGUUUUCCAAGGUCAUCCUUUGAGAGUAGCUGACUGCUGGAUGCAUCUGGAAUAAGUCAGACAAGGGUCUCUUCAGCUGACUUAGGAGGCUCUUGCCCUCUGAUCUGAAACUGCUGAGGAUGUCUCUGUGCGGCCUGUAGACUGCUAGUUGCUAUAAAUUCCUAAAAGAAAACAAGAGCAGGUACCUGUUCCUUCUCUCCUCUCUCCUCCCUCCCUCUCCUUUGGUGAGUGUGACGAAGAGCGUGUGACAAUGUCUGGUGGAGUUGGUAGAGAGAGAAACAGUGGCCUGUGGGUUGGGGCUCAGAGAAAGAGGUUAUCCUAGGAUGAAAUAUCAAACCAUAUCACAUUGAUUUUCCCUUUGGGGGGCCCGGAUAUCACAUCCUUCCAUUUCCCUCUAGUCCCUGCCCACCAUCGACAGGGAAGCAUUAACAGGGAAUAAUCAAUGAUGCUCUGUCCUGAAAAUAAAAGGCUUGUCAUGUCUCUCCAUUUGGUGGAAUGGAUGUGGGACCAGGGGUCAUGUGGCCGCUGCCAUCUGUCUCCUGACAGAGGCACUGACUCAGACAAGCUUUCCGUCCAGAGCGCUGCAGCCUACAGCCAGGUGAGCGCAAACUCCCCACGGGCAGCAAGGAAAACAAGACUUCAAUUUCUUUGAAUGCUCGUGUUAGGAGCGUGGCUAACUAUAAAAUAUGGCAUCUUAGGAGCUACUUUCUGUGAACUUUAAUUUCUGAAUUGCAUAAAGGAUCAACAUUCCCUAAUAUGCUGGAUGCUGUGCUUGCAUUCCAAACAAGUCCGUGCACUCACCAUUUCGGGAUGGAAUCACAGAAAUUCAGAAUGGAGAGGGACUUAAAUCUGUGGUCCAGCCCCAUUCCCCGUCUGAUAUAUGAGUUCAUUGAAGUUUUCUUGGUAACCCUAAUGGUUGUGAGAACAUGCCUACUGCUUCCUGUUAUUGUUCUUCCAUUGUCAAAAAGCUCAACUCUUAGAAAGUAUUUUCUUAUGCUUUACCAAAAUCUUAUGCUUUGCCGGUGCUCAUGGCUGUCAUUUGUAUUAUAGUAACCUCUCCAUAUUCUCCCAUCUCUUUCACUUAGAUCCACUACUUGGGUCCCAACUCCUGACUCUCUCCCACUCACAAUCCUGUUAAGUCUCUUGGAUUUAGCCCUUAUAUCUGGUCAUUCAUCAAAACCUCUGGCUUAGAAACAUGCCAGGGGCUCUUCCCCUUUCAGACUCCUUGGGUAGCCUUCCUGCUCCUGCCUCACCCCACACCUUUCAGCUCAAAGGUAAGUGGGAAGCAUCCCCUUCCAUUUUCCAUGCUGUGUUCACUUGGCUGAAGACGCACCUAGCUGGCUUUGGAAGACAUCCUUUGGACUUGCCUUAAGAUAGCUCCAAUCUAAACUCUCUUUGCAUUUUUUUGUUUUUUAUAUUUAAUUUUUUUCAGAGAUGAGGUCUUGCUUUGUCACCCAGGUUGGAGUGUGGUGACAUGAUCUGUGAUCAUAGUUAACUGCAGUCUGGAACUCCUGUGCUCAAGCAACACUCCUGCCUCAGCCUCUAGAGUAGCUGGGACUACAAGCACAUACCACCACGCAAGGGUAACCUUUGUGUUUUUGAUGCAUGCUACAGCUGAUACCUGUAUGAUUACAUCCUAUACCUGUAUGAUUUGAUUUUAUUGGGACCUACAUGAAAAACUGUACAAGUAUGGCAAUUACAUUUUAUCUUGUUAGGUUUGUUUUUUGCUCCAACUUGGGGAGUUCUUUUUAAAUCAGAUUCUGCCACUGAAAGCAUUCCCUUUCAUUGGCAGCAUUGGUGAAUGUGCAAAUUUGAUAAGCAUGCCUUUUCUAUCUUGGCCUCAACCACUGGCAAAAAUGGAAGGCUGAAGUCCAGGAGACCUGGGUGUCGGACUUUAUAACUGAGUAGAGUACAAGCUUUGGACUCGUCAUUCAGAAGCUGAAUUGCAUUCUCCUUGUUAUAGACCCAGAUUCUCCACCCCCAUGAAGCUUCUACAUAGCAGAGAGCAGUGACUGCACAUCACUGUGGGCAGGCAGGCUUCAAAAGAAAGCCAAGAAAGGGCUGGGCAGAGCACACUCUGUUCCUUCUUGAAAUGUACCAAUUGGAGAAGUUGUUCUUUCUCCCAUCCUGUCAAGGAUAAUAGUAAGCAUCUUACGGUUCCUUACCAUUUAUGACGCACUCUCUCUUUCAAUUCUACCUUAACUGUGUUGUGGGAGGAAGAGUGUUUUUAUUGCUGAAAUCCCAUGUUAACGUGGGCCCUGGAAACAGAGGUUCUCCCCAGACCUGCCUUGGUUGGUCAAUAAAGUGGUUCAUUGCCCUUAUUUCCAACAGCAAUCCUGAUUUUCUUUUGGGCCCUCUUCCACUCUCUUGUCAUGAGGUUUACAUGAAAUCUCUCCUCCUUCCUUUCUCCAAGCUCAAGGGGUGGGCAUAAUUAUUACACUAAAGCUAAGCAUUGGGACUCACUGUCCCAAACUUUCAAUUUUGACUGGGUGAUAAAGACAGGCCCCUGCCCAGAGACAGCAAUCUGAGGUGUGGUUUACAGGGACUGCGCCCUGAGGGGUCAGUUCCCCUAGCAUACAUGACUUGUCUCUUAGAACCUUCUGUGAGUUCUCUGACAUUUUCCCAGGAUAUCCCACUGUGUCCCUUAAAUGUAUGAAAGUUACAGUCUAUUGCAUAAAGCAGUACAACUCUAAGCAAGAUGAAAUGCAGGUUUCGAUAGUAACCAGGCUCUAAGCCCAGCCUAUACUGACUCAGCACUAGCCCCACUAACACAACUUUCCAAACUUCCUGGUUGGCACCUCAUGCUUCUACCAUCCACCAAGAGACAGCCCAGACUUGUCAACAGGGAAGGGGAGUAGGGAAUACUUGGUUGAAAUAUAGAUAUACCAUGUCCAAGAGUCUAAUAUGGCAAAAGUAGAAAUGAUGUCUAUCUGAUGUGGUGUGUGUGUGUGUUGUAAACGAACUUGUGCAGUGUCACAGUGGCUACCAUUUUGUUUUCUAUUAAUAAGUGCUGAGACUCUUGCUUGGGGGUCAUGAGUAGCUCCUGUAUUUGCAGAAUGAAUCACCAGUGGGUCCUUGGGUGAGUCUAUUUGAGCUUCUGCUUCCUCAAUGGUAGGAUGGAUGGAGUAAUUUUAUCCGUCCACCAAUCAUCCCUGCAAGCCUUCGUAUGGGACCUUAACCCUUAUAGUCGCGUUUAUUGUCUCCUUUGGUCCGGCUAGCUGUACUUGUUUUUUGGGAAUAACAGACAGGAAUUUGUGUGAAAAUACUUAGUGAAAUGUAAUGCAUUAUAUACUUUGUUAUAAAAGCACUGACCCUCAUCUUCUAGAAUAUUCCAUUCUCCUGGUUGUCUUCUGGAUCCCUGACAACAAUUCUGCAAUUCAUCCCAUUUACAAGGGUUAUCAGCAUCCUGGAAAGCCCUUCAUCGAGGUAAGUGGCUUCGAUUCAUUAGUGUGGCUAGAGAACAGGUGCACGUUUUAUAAUCACUUAGUGCUUUAAUUCCUUCUUAUCAACAUGUGUGCUACCCAUUUCAUGGUAAAGAUUUUAUUGGACAGAAAAGAUGGAAGCAAAUUAGGGUUAUAGAGGUUCUGCCUUUUUUUCUGAUAAAAAUCACUACCUCUCCUAAGCAGUGUCCUGUGUCAUCUUUUUUUCCACUUGCCCCAAACUUAACUUUAAAAAAGCAGAAGCCAUUUUUGAUGCCCUGGGCUCUUUUUGCAAGUCUCAGCUCAGUACUGGCUUCAGCCUUCUGACACUCUCUAACCAAAAGUCAGCUUGCUUAUUAAAAUUUUUAUUAACAUUUCAGUCUGCCAAGAUUCUAAAUCACAGAAGCCCAGGAGAAUUAGAGGCAAUAUUUAGGAAAGUGCUUUGAACACAGUAUCAAUCCAGGGCCCCUUUGCCUCUGUCCGGAAGGAAGCCCUUGCUGUUGGUACCGACUGGGAGGUGAUUCGGAGGGUUUCCCAGGCCGGAGCUCAUCGCAGACUCACAUCACCCGUCAGCGCCGACUACUCUGCAGCACCAGGCGCUGUUCUCAGGGCCUCACGCCGCCUUCUCUGCAGGUCCUUGCAUAUGCGUUUCCUCUUUCCACCCUUGAUAUUUGUCCUUCCACCCUUGUUAGCUGUGCUCAUCCGAGCUCUGUCUGCAGCUCCUCAGAUUUCCUUACAUCCCAUCUCCCUUUCUUUCCUUUUGGUGGCACUUUUAGUGACAGAGUCAUAUUGGAGCUUUUGAGGGGUUCCUAGUCAUGAACUGUCUUCCUUAUGCUAUGGAAUCAUCCCUAAUAUGGCUAGAAUUAGAAACUACUAAAAUGUUUGAGUAGUGGAAAAUGCAAAAAUAAAAUCACAUGAUAUUACUACCCCCAAACAGCCACUCAUUAGCAUUUUGGUAUAGUUCAUGUGAAUGUUAUUCUGUGUAUCUUUUGAAAUCUACAUGUACGUAGUAAUCAUACUAUGCAUUAAAUAUUUGGUGUUUUACAUGUUAUAUAGCCUUCCUCCCAUAUUAAUAUACAUUUUUUAUAGGUGCCAUACUUAAUGGCUGCACAAUACUGAGUACAUGAAACACAUAAUGCUCCCAUCAUUGGACACUAAAAUUGUUCCCAAACCUUUUUUUUUUCUUUUAUAAAUAACCCUGUGUGAGAUGAGAGGGAACACAAUGCACAAGACCACCCUCACUUGUGACACCAAUUGCAAGUCCAAGGAGCUUCCAAGAACUACCCCAAAGUUUGAUAAUUCAUUAGAAGGACUUAUAGAACUCACCGAUAACUGUUAUGCUGAUGAUUAUGGUUUAGUGCAGUUAAAGGAUACAGAUUAAAAUCAGCCAAGGGAAAAGAUGCAUGGGGUAGAGUCCAAUCAAGUUUUAGACAUGGGCUUCCAGUUGUCCUUUACCCAUGGAGUUGUGGGCAGCAUUACUUCCCUGGCAUUAACAUGUGACAAUACACAGAACGUUCCAACCAGGGAAGCUCACCCAGCCUUGGUGUCCAGAGUUAUUAUUGGGGCUCCAUGGUUGACUGCCUGGGUGGCUGGUCUUUAGUCUCCAGCCCCUCCAGAGGUAGAGCGGAUACUGCAUGGCCCAAAGAUCAUAAAUCACAGUAUUAUACUGUCCCGUGGCCACGGCCCCUGGCAGGCAAAGACACUCUUAUCAGGCAGGACAUUCCAAAGUCCUAAAGAUCACCUCCCUAUAUCCACAAUGAUAAUCAGUAUGAAUCAAACAAAACAGAACAAAACAACAAAACAAAAAAGAUCAUCUCCCUAUAGCUGAGGACAAAGGCCAGACUGCUCUUUGAGUAAGGUGAAUUCUUUACUAUACACCCUGUAACAAAUAUCCUUGUGUAUAAGCAUUGUUCAUUUUGAGGGUUAUUUUUGAAGACAAAUUCCUGGAAGUGGAAUUAUUGAACUAAAGGAUAUGAACAUUUUUAAGACUCUUGAUACAUAUUACCAAAAUGCUUUCCAAGGAGUUUACCAGUUUAUUUUCCGUUCCUUGCCCUACCCACUCAGCGAUGAACAGCACAUCUGUUCCAUCACACCCUCACGCAAUGGGUAUUUUCAUCUUAGAAAACUUCUGACAAUUUGGUAGACACAAAAUGGUAUCAUUGGCUUUCAUUUGCAUUUCUGAUUACUAAUGAUGGCAAAUCCUUGCCCAUUUUUAAGGUUUUAUUAUGAAGAAUUUUGAACACCCACAAAAGUUGAUAGAAUAUCUUAAUGAAUCCCACAUGCCCAUCACCCCAGCCCCACAACCAUCAACCCCUGGGAAUCCUAGCUUAUCCAUAGCUCCAUCUUCUUCUCCUGUCCCCAUAAGUUUUGAAGAAGAUCUCCUGGACAUGUAAUUUUAUCUAUAAUAAUUCAAUCUGAAUGUCUAAAAGAUAAGAUCUCUUUAUUAAAAGUCCACAAAUACAAUGAUCAUACUUUAAAAAUUAACAAUAAUUCCUUAAUGUCAUCAUAUAUUCAAUUGGUAUUCAAAUUUCCAAUUGUUUCAUAAAUGUCAGAUUUUUUUACAUUUAAAAAAUUAGGAUCCAAAUGAGGACCAGAUAUUAUUGAGAUUCAUAGAGAUCCAUAGAUUUGUCUUUUAAUUUAACAUAUUUCCUUUAAUCCAUGAAUUCUCUCUCUCUCUCUCUCUUUCUCCCUCCAGCUGCCUUCCCUAAGAUAUGACUUAAUGUUCACUACUGUACCCCUGGUGCCAAAAACAGUAGGUUUGGUGGACAGACUCUAAGAUGUCCUCAUGAUCCCUUCCUCUUGAUGUUUACAGCUUUGUGUAAUCCCUCCCUUUCCCUUGGCUGUAACUUGCUUCUAACCAAUAGAAACAGCAAAGGUGAUGGGAGGUCAUGCCCAUGAUUACGUUAUAGAAGACUCUGUUAGCAGUCUUGCUAGCAGUCUCUCUCUUUCUCUCUUCUUCCUUCUCUUUCUCUCCCCUCCUCUGUUGCUGGCUUUAAAGAAACAAGAUGCCAUGAUGUAAAUGGCCAUGUUGGGGAAGCUCACAUGGCAGGAAACUCUGAGGAGUCUCUAGGAGCUGAGAGUAGACCCCAACAAGAAACUGAAACCCUCUGUUUGGCAGCUGCAAGGAAAUGAAUUCUGCCAACAACCUCAGGGAGUUUGGGAGCAGAUCUUUCCUCAGUCGAGCCUCUGAUGAGAUUGCAGCCUUGUGGAUACCUGGCUUGCAGCCUUGUGAGACCCUUAAGCAGAGAAACCAGCCAAGCUGUGUGUACACUUCUGACCUACAGAAACUAUAGAUAAGGAAGCGAGACCAGUGGCAAGCCUGCAGAUGGAUAAUGGAAGCAUUCCUCACAGCUGUUCAGGGAUAUAUAUAUUUUCUGCAGUCGAGCGAGACGGAUUCCCAUCACAGCGCGGGGACUUGUUCCAUGAAGCCCCUCAUCCGUCAUGCUCGGGGGAGAUGGGGACAGUGGAGAAGUGUCAUUAUGGAUGGAACUGGGCUCAGAAGUGACUGGUCAAGGUUGACACUGCAGUCCUGACGGAGCUGUUUAUGGAAAUUUUCCUGGGAGGCUGGUGGAGAGGGCAGCUCCAAACAGCCCCUGCCUGUGGCUGCUUCCUGAGUCCCAGUCUGACUGCCUCGGAGCUGAAUAAGUCCCUCCAAGUUAGCUACCCAAGGAAAAUACCCUUUUCCCUGUUCCAAACUAGAGAGAGAGGAGAUCAAAACAAGUAUUAUCUCAGUGUUUGUGCUAAGCCUGAAUGGGCGCUCUAAUCAUCUGUCCUGAUGUCGCUGCCCCAUCUCUCCCAGAACUCUGAGCAAAGUAGGAUCAGGGUGAUCUGUGCUCGGCACAUUACACUAAAGUGGGGAGCGCUUGGAUCUGGGGUGCUGCCUCAGGUUUGCCAGUCCUGUGUGGACACUGAUUUAGUCUCAGAGUGAGCAGGCUAAGGAGGACAGAAAUUGGUCCACCUCGAAAGACAAAAGCUAGAAUGCAAUGUCUCCUCCCUACUCCCUUUUCCUAACCUCAGGAAACAACAUGUGCAAAGAGCUUUUCUGCCACUGAUAGCUGUCCUUCCGCUCUCUACGCUCCUGCCUCCAGGCCGCCCCACCUGCCCCACAUGUCCCAUGGUGCCAGGGGAGGCCCCCUCCCCACCCUGCUGGAACAAUGGCUGUCACUUCUUGACUGUCUCUCCAAGGUUUCCAGUUUGCUUGGGGAAAGAGCCUUUCUCUCCCCCAUGCCCCCUUUUAAGUGUACGUAUUGCCAGCCUCACACUGAAAGGAAUUGUGAUGUCUGACGGAAGUACAAACACUAUAGCAAGGGAGGAAAACCAGGCAGGGGAAAUAAAGGCAGGAGAAAUGAGACAAGGCCACUCGAGGCUCUAAUACCAAAGGCCGAUUGAUGUUCACUUGCUAAUUUGGUUCUGAGUUUUCUGGAAGAAGGAAACAUAAUCGCCAAUUCCCUUCACAGUGACCAUGAGAUAAAAGCAAACUAGUUGUUUGGGAGAAAGUUCUGAAGUACCAGAUGCGUCUCUGGUGGGAUGUUUGUUCUUUUCAAGAUGUGAGCAAUACCCUCAAUAAUGGAUCACCUGGAAAGAUACCAUUUGCAUUCUGGGAGAGCUGCCUGCCGACUUCACAAAGAUUUAUUCCUCACGUCAGUGACUGUUAGCAUAGCAGAGUGAAGUGUGCCUGAGAAGCUGUGGCAAUAGCAGUGACCAUGGUGGCGGUCAAGGCUGACAGGAGGAUGCUCUGGGGCAGAGCAGAAGCACGGACUUACAGCUUCAGCCUCAAGGACUUGCAAGCUUCGGUGUUGCAAGGCUCCCGAUUCUAGCCAUGGGGAAGGGGUUCCAGGUUCCAGAGAGAAAACCGAAGCACCGUGCAAUGGACACAAGAUGACUAAGUUUGGGGAGGGAAUAGAUGCUGAGGUUGGAGGUUCUGCAGCAGAGUUAGGGUGUGGUGGGGUGGAAGGGUGAGGGUAGAGCGAGUGAACUUUAUGGUCUCAGAUCCUGGAGAGAGAAGGGCAGCCUUGUGGGGCAGGGGAGGGGCAGGUGCUCAUAGACUGGCACGUCACCAGCAGCAACUCUCUUAACCUUCCCAGCAACUGGGCGUAGGAGGUAUUAUUAUUCCCAUUGCACACACGAAGAGACUGAGGCUCAGAGAGGCCAUGUCAAUUAUAUCAUGAUCUGAUUCAGAUGGAGGCUGUUUGGAAGGCAUCCACAGUUUAGAUCUGGACUCAGUGGAAGGAAAGGAUAUUCUAAAAAAUGCAAUGGCAGACAACAGAUAAGAGACUCUCAUCACCUCUGUAUUUGGAUGACUCUUCAUCGUCAUUAGUAUGUUCUGGGGGCCCUCAGCAAGCAGGUUCUCAAGAUAGGUCUCCCCUGAUGGCAGGAGGGAGCAUGGGGUCUCCUCCUCCGUGUGAUGGCUGCUCCUGCAUGGAUGGUCCAGCUGCUGCAGGCCAAGAAGAGGCAGAGGAGGGAGGAUGGAGGGCAGGUGACAGCUGGUGCAUACUCAAGCCACCUUCACCCAGUCUCUCAGCAAAAAGAAGCAGCAACAGGAGCAGCAGAGAGGCCUGGAUUUCAAUGGCACCCCAGGCUGCACACCUGUUUUCACCUUAGGGGUGGGCAGAAGCAGCUGAUCCUUUCACCCCACCCUUUCCAUGUCUUGUGUGCUCUGAAGAAAUACCCAACCCUGAGGCUGGGACACCCCCAGCUCUCUGGAAGAUGGCCGUGAUUAUGUGGUUAAUAACCACCUCCCUUGUUGGACUUUCUGGAACUUGCCUCUGCUGAAGCUAUCCAAAUAGUUGUUCAUUUCCUCAUUUGUUUGCCCACCAAUAUUUACUAAGUAGCUGCUAUGCUCUGUGCUGGUCCCGUAGCUAUGGUAAGCAGUCCCUGCCCUCCAGAAGCUUACAGUCUGGUGGGGAAGGCAGAUAAUUCUCUGUAGCCCCCUCUCUGACCUGCCCACACUGUUCUCUCCCAGGGCUUACACCCCCUGGGCCCUGCCUGCAGGCCAUACACCAUGAUGACAAACACUGGGCUGCUAUCAAAAGCCCCAUUGAGAGCUCGUCAUCGUGCAUAUAAAGUAGCAGUGUUGGUCCUGAACCUGACCCGAGGAGGCACAGCUAUUGUCAGUGCUGUUUUGACAGCUCUUGACAGCAGGUGUCUAUCAGCUCCCGUUCUUCUUUUUCCCACUCCCACUGUUUUUUUGCCAGUCUCAAAGUGUCACUUCCAUUUGGAAGGCAUGGAAGAAGUGAGGUGGUAAAAGGAACCAGUCAUCACUCAUCCCAUUGACCAGGGUGGAGGUCAGGCAUGGCCAGAGGACAAGUGGCAUCUGUGCUGGAACAUCCCAGGAUCAUGGAGUUGCUGAUAGAGGGAGCUGGGGUCAUACCCCCCUUAGCUGGAGCCCUUCCUCCCUCUGCCUCUGAAAAGGAUGGUUUUCUUCCAUGGACCAUCAUUGAAUGUGGCUUCUCAGUGUCUCAGCCACUGGAAACCAGGAAAUUUCCUUAGGUAGGGGUAGAGCAAUGAGUGGUAGGGAAUGUCCUGGCUAAGGGCUUGAGCUGUGGGAGACUGGUUUUAAGAGACAAAAAAGGGAGUGUACAUAAGGUCAUGAGUUAAGGCUUUGGAGUUGGACAGACUAAGACUCAAGUCCUAACUCUGAUCUGGCAUUUCCAUUGCUAGGUAUAUACCCAAUAGAAAUGAAAACAUUCAUCCAUACAAAGACAUGUAUACAAAGGUUCACAACUGCAUUAUUUAUAACAGCCAAGAAGUAGAAACAAUCCAACUGCCCAUCAGCUGGUGAAUGGAUAGAUCAAGUGUGGCAUAUCCAUACAGGGGACAGCUAGUGUACCAUGGUCAGAAGGAAG
Non-coding RNA from Microcebus murinus (gray mouse lemur), 10405 nucleotides. The record is from RefSeq and is a predicted model, not a curated record. Lineage: Eukaryota; Metazoa; Chordata; Mammalia; Primates; Cheirogaleidae.